Molecule: long non-coding RNA, 1496 nt
Organism: Gadus morhua (Atlantic cod)
Lineage: Eukaryota; Metazoa; Chordata; Actinopteri; Gadiformes; Gadidae
Exons: 3
Source: RefSeq, a predicted model, not a curated record
AGACAAACACUAUAAAAUGUUGUUUUCAUGCCAUGCCUGUUAAUGCUGAACACAAUUUCUUUCUGCUCUAGGAUCAUCAAAUAAUAAAACCUACCAUCUUAUCGAGCAGAAACUGUCAUGGGAGCCAUCUAAGAGUUACUGCCGUACUCAUUACACUGACCUCGCCAUGAUAGAGAAUGAAGAAGAGAACCAAAAGGUUUUGUCCAACAUCACUACUCCUGUGUGGAUUGGUCUUUACAGAGUUCCCUGGACGUUUUCUGAUGGGACCAACAGCUCCUUCAGAACCUGGUGGAGAAAUGAGCCCAAUAAUAUUAACAAUAAUCAGUUAUGUGCCGGGGUGUAUGACGGUGGAUUUCACGACGGUGAAUGCACUGCAACGUUGCCUUUUAUCUGCUCAGGUCGGAAAUACAGCAGAAUAAAGAUAAUGAUCGAGUCUAACUUGGACCUGACAAACCAAAACACUAAGGAUAACAUCCGUCUACAACUGUCUGCAUCUCUGACCAGAGCCGGGAGGACUGACUUCAACCUGAGCUGGAGCGCUCCACCAGAAAAACUAGAUCCAGCAGGCUUGAAUGAUGACAACCAAUAAUGAUUACAUGAAUUAUGAAUACAUGCAGGACAUUAGUGUAGGGGAGAGUGGGGUAAGAUGAGCCAGUGGUUAAGUGGACCCACCCCCUAUAUUUAGGCACCUGUACACACAAUUGUAAUUUGGCCAUCAAUUCAGGAAGCACCCAUCAUGCACCCGUAUGUCUGGCUGUGAUGGAGAGAAACCCAUGGUCAAGUUGCAAGUAUGUUUUUUUUCACAAUAAACUUUUUUUUCUUGUCAAAGUAAAUUUUUAAUAUAGCAGGUAAUGACUGCUAUGUCAAAGCAAUUUUAUCCAAUUUUAUGCGUACAAAUAUAGAUUAUAAAUGUUGGUGAUUUGCCAAGGUAUAAAGCAAUGGGAAUAAUUAGCUAAAGAUUGGCCUGAAUUGUUAAACUAGGCAGUUUCCAAAAUUGUGGGUGUGGGACAACGUAAGCCACAUGCUGUGGGCAAAGUUGAGUCGUUCAACUUACCCCACCACAAUGCACUGAAGUUAAGUUACGUCUUUAAAGUAUAAAGCGGUAAUCUAAUGUAGUAUCACACAACUGACUUGGUUUUUCAUAUUUAAAAAUGGUAGAAAUUAUGCCAAGAAAGAGAGAAAGGAGCUGGAGAGAGCAGCGCAUAUUAUGAAACAUAAUGUUUAUAGGAGGAGUUGAAGUUAAGAUAAAAGAGGAUGCUUUCUUGCUGUAUGUCAGGUGUUCAAUGUACCAGUUCCAUUUAUCGUCAUUUGUUGAACCUUUAGUAGACCUUACCUUGUUGAAUUCUCUUCUUGUUUGUGCUCAUGAUUUGAGAGUUUAUUCCUUACGUUAAAACAAGUAAUACUUUACUAUAAGAACAAUGUGUGUUGAAGAUCUGAAGACAUGGCCCAUCGCAAGAUCAUCUCCAACGUUAAACGAGUAGUUAUAUCAAUAUAUA